Molecule: long non-coding RNA, 4086 nt
Organism: Petromyzon marinus (sea lamprey)
Lineage: Eukaryota; Metazoa; Chordata; Hyperoartia; Petromyzontiformes; Petromyzontidae
Source: RefSeq, a predicted model, not a curated record
CCUCCCUCCCCCGCUCCCGCUCUUCCUCACCUCGCACCUCCUCCCCGCGCGAUCCGCUCCCUCUCGCUCCGUCCUUGCGUUCCCCCACCCCGCUGGGCCGGCGUGCGUGCGCUAGAGUCGCCUCGGCGGCGGGCGAGCAGCGGACUCGGUGCCCUCUCCCAUCGCGGGCUCGUGCCGCUUUGCUGCCGGGAGACGGCAACACGCGAUCCACGGAGGAGGAGGAGAAGGAGGAGGCAGGGGGCCGGAGCCGAACCACGGAACGCUCCGGAGAGGAGACGGAGCGAGAGAGAGAGGUGGACUCGGGAUCGCACGCGCGCUGCCAGGGCACGCCGAGCUCACGGAUGGAGGGCGCGAUCCACGAACGCGACCACAAAGUCGGAGUUAAACGGAGGAACCUCUCCACACCGUGUCGGCCCCAAGCUCGCUGCGAGGGUCGCUCAAUGCCGGAGCGGUGGAGCAAAGUAUCGGGCCUCCAGGUCUGGUUCUCUCCAGGCGUCCGCCGUGGGUGAGGCUGCGGCGACGGCGCUGACAACGAGUCAACGCGCGGUCGCCUUUCCGUUGUCCUCCGUUUCUCGCGAGGAGGCUGUUCUGGUUUAGACUUCGCCCUCUGGGUGCCGUGCGAUAGUUUAUUUUUGUCAUCUCUCGGGCUGCCCCCGGCCCGAGCCCCCACGAGGACACUCGCCAUCCUUGGGCUUACCGCCUUCAACUCGCAGCAGUAAUUCGGGCCAAGAGACAGCGGUUACACGUCCCCCCCCCCCCUCACCCUCGGAGCCCCUCCACGCGUGUGCAGGGCUGUUAACUAUUUAUUUCAUUAGCUCUUUAUUGAGUCACGGUCACUCAGCAGUGAAAUACGUCUGGCGCGCGCAGCCCGGCUGGAGGAUUAAGCGGCCCGUGCGGUCGUUGACGUGAAGCGCCCCGCGUCACGCUCGGCGGGGCACGGCGGGGCACGGCCGAUCCACACAGGGGACGGGAGGGGAGUCUCUCUUUGCUUCCAUCGUCCACGCCGCCUAUCAACCCCUCACCCCUCCUGCCGCAACUCAACAACCCCCCCCCCCCCACCCACGUACCCCUUGAAACGUCAAAACAGACAACAAUUUGUUGCUCGGCUGACCCAAAGCUUCCCAUGUCUGGGCACGAGAAUCAUUUUUUUUUUCUUAAGACUGAAAUCGUUUCAAAAUUCUAGAGGCGGAACGCGACGACUUCGGUCACUCGGCCGAGCCGCUUCCCCGAGACCGGGCGCGGAGCAGAGGGUGCCCGUCGCGGGCUUGGGGACGCGCCGCUUGAUGGGGGGGGGAGGGGAGGGGGGGGGCGCGCAAGGCGCACUCGUCACUCUCGGCCAACAACCGUGGCCGCGUUCAUCGGUCGUCAGUCAGGAGAGGAGCAAUCGGGAGCCCCUCGUCGUCUCCACUCGCGCUCCUCCACACGUCAAACCGCACCCCCCACCACCCCCCCCCCACCCCCACCGGGGUCCCUUCUCUCUCUGCCACAUUCCCAGCAAAGCAAAAGGAGUGUUGCAUUUCAAUCAACCGUGGAAAUUCGUCGCAAAUGGCCAGCUGAGCCGCGUUUUCGUUUCAAGGGGAGCGUUGCCGUACACGCGAGGGCUUUUCGUUGAGGUUGCGGCGCUUUCGGUUCCACGAGUAAGCGCCGCUGUGAUAAGAAAUAUUGCUCGGCCAUGUUCUGUCCACUGCUGGUUAAAAGUCCACCUCUGGACGUUGCCAAUGUUCAAUCUCCAGCGCCCGUGAAAGACAAUGAUCGAGCAUGUAAAAGUGGAGAGUGCGGACAGACAGCACCUAAUGCAAGGUUACCGCCGUUCAAUAAAAGCGUAAACGUAAUUUAGACUCGCCGGGAAGAAUCCGUGUUUAGCCGAGAUGAUGGGAAUUCCUUUCAUUGAGACGGUGACUGAGCCCAGGAAUGCAUCGCUAAGUGGAUUGUGCUUUGUUCUCAACAGAACAAAUCUUCCCAAAAUGCAAUGUGCCAGCAACAGUUAAUCAUUUGACUUUUCAUUUAAAUGCAUUUAUUUCGGACUAAUAGUUUGUGACAAUUGGAGGCUUCGUCUUACACUGGCCAGCUCGUAUUAGGUAACUAUUAAUAUGCAAAUGUGAAAACUGUUAAUCAAAACAUCGUUUUUACAUCGAAUGCUCGUCAGGCCCCAUGGUGUAAAGUGCAGUCUCCACCACUUAUUAUCUGCUAUUACCUUUGUAUGUUCUAAGUAGAAGGGCCACCGCCUGAAACGUCACCUACUAUAAAAAAUGUUCUCCUUUUAAGGCCUUGGGGUUACUGAUAUGGAGUGUGUUGAUUGGUUUGAGACGAUGUCAAUUGGUGUAACGUGACCGUGGUGGCUCAAAACAAAUUCCAAUGUUGACCACCUCCUUGAGGAGGACUUUGAUCGGACAUUUCUUUAUAAACAACUCGCACUAUCCUGGUUUGCAAUUUCAACCAUUCAAUCAAACCGGUUGCUCAAAGCCAGCUACUGUUGCUCUAAGUCACCUCGUGUUGCUCUAAGUCACCUCGUAUUGCUCUAAGUCACCUCGUGUUGCUCUAAGCCAGCUGGUGUUGCUCUAAGCCAGCUCGUGUUGCUCUAAGCCAGCUCGUGUUGCUCUAAGUCACCUCGUGUUGCUCUAAGUCACCUCGUGUUGCUCUAAGUCACCUCGUGUUGUUUUAAGUCACCUCAUGUUGCUCCAAGUUAUCUCGUGUUGCUCUAAGUCACCUCAUGUUGCUCUAAGCCAGCUCGUGUUGCUCUAAGUCACCUCGUGUUGUUUUAAGUCACCUCAUGUUGCUCUAAGCCAGCUCGUGUUGCUCUAAGUCACCUCGUGUUGCUCUAAGUCACCUCGUGUUGCUCUAAGUCACCUCAUGUUGCUCUAACUCAGCUGGUGUUGCUCUAUGUCACCUCGUGUUGCUCUAAGUCACCUCGUGUUGCUCUAAGUCACCUCGUGUUGCUCUAACUCAGCUCGUGUUGCUCUAAGUCACCUCGUGUUGCUCUAAGCCAGCUCGUGUUGCUAUAAAUCACCUCGUGUUGCUUUAAGUCACCUCGUGUUGCUCUAAGCCAGCUGGUGUUGCUCUAAGCCAGCUCGUGUUGCUCUAAGCCAGCUCGUGUUGCUCUAAGUCACCUCGUGUUGCUCUAAGUCACCUCGUGUUGCUCUAAGUCACCUCGUGUUGCUUUAAGUCACCUCGUGUUGCUCUAAGUCACCUCGUGUUGUUUUAAGUCACCUCAUGUUGCUCCAAGUCAUCUCGUGUUGCUCUAAGUCACCUCAUGUUGCUCUAAGCCAGCUCGUGUUGCUCUAAGUCACCUCGUGUUGUUUUAAGUCACCUCAUGUUGCUCUAAGCCAGCUCGUGUUGCUCUAAGUCACCUCGUGUUGCUCUAAGUCACCUCGUGUUGCUCUAAGUCACCUCAUGUUGCUCUAACUCAGCUGGUGUUGCUCUAUGUCACCUCGUGUUGCUCUAAGUCACCUCGUGUUGCUCUAAGUCACCUCGUGUUGCUCUAACUCAGCUCGUGUUGCUCUAAGUCACCUCGUGUUGCUCUAAGCCAGCUCGUGUUGCUAUAAAUCACCUCGUGUUGCUUUAAGUCACCUCGUGUUGCUCUAAGCCAGCUCGUGUUGCUCUAAGCCAGCUCGUGUUGCUAUAAGUCACCUCGUGUUGCUCUAAGUCACCUCGUGUUGCUCUAAGUCACCUCGUGUUGUUCUAUGUCACCUCGUGUUGCUCUAACUCAGCUCGUGUUGUUCUAAGUCACCUCGUGUUGCUCUAAGUCCCCUCGUGUUGCUCUAAGUCACCUCGUGUUGCUCUAAGCCAGCUUGUGUUGCUCUAUGUCACCUCGUGUUGCUCUAAGUCACCUCGUGUUGCUCUAAGUCACCUCGUGUUGCUCUAAGUCACCUCGUGUUGCUCUAAGUCACCUCGUGUUGCUCUAAAUCACCUCGUGUUGCUCUAAGCCAGCUCGUGUUGCUCUAAGUCACCUCGUGUUGCUCUAAGUCACCUCGUGUUGCUCUAACUCAGCUGGUGUUGCUCUAAGUCACCUCGUGUUGCUCUAAAUCACCUCGUGUUGCUCUAAAUCACCUCGUGUUGCUCUAAGUCACCUCGUGUUGCUCUAAGCCA